RNAcentral lists this ribosomal RNA (255 nucleotides) under uncultured bacterium. RNAcentral's name for it is "partial 16S ribosomal RNA". It matches the Rfam family "Bacterial small subunit ribosomal RNA", at positions 526 to 779 of the family's 1533-position model. The record is from RNAcentral.
CGGAGGGUGCGAGCGUUGUCCGGAUUUAUUGGGUUUAAAAGGGUGCGUAGGCGGCCCGUUAAGUCCGGGGUGAAAGCCCGUUGCUCAACAACGGAACUGCCCUGGAUACUGACGGGCUUGAGUACAGACGAGGUUGGCGGAAUGGACGGAGUAGCGGUGAAAUGCAUAGAUACCGUCCAGAACCCCGAUUGCGAAGGCAGCUGACUAGGCUGUUACUGACGCUGAGGCACGACAGCGUGGGGAGCGAACAGGAUU